GCCACUUCCACAUCCAGGGAGCCAACUAGAAACAUCCCCAAACCUAAAAGCAAAAUAACCUGUCCAAACAGCUUUAAAGGUCCAGGAAGAUAAAUGUCAAGGGAGCUAAAAUAGUCGACAGGCCCCAGAACAUAGAAAAUAAACUUCCCUUUCAGAAAGCAGCCUUCACUUGGUUUCGUAAGCGUGUACCGCUGAAGUCUGUACUGUUUGAAGGUGAAAAGAAACAUCUGAGAAGCACCUGCCUGGAUUCUCUUCGCUCCCUCCGGCCAUGACAACCCUUAUCCCGAUUUCUACUUCGCGGCACCAAAGAGGAAAGCAGCAUUCACCAGAACGCUCCAGGCUGAAUCCGUUAGCUGGACUAGGGCACUCUAUCCGGCCCACGGGAGGACGCCACAAGCCCGAGUUCGGGUUAAGACGGUGGGAGAGGCAGCCGCUGCUGCUGCUGUUUUGCCCUUGACACGUCGCUGGGGGAUAGCGCAGACCCCCUCUGUCACGGAAAAGCGGCGUCCUGGAGAGACUGUCCAGUUCUGGGCUGCGCCGAUUCCCCUCCAGGCCUUGCCCCUAAACGUCCCCGCCCCGCGGGGGCAGCCCUGCGGGGUCUCAGAGCCGCCCGCGAGCCUGGCGGGCUGUUACGCGGCCUGGAGAGAAGGGGAGCGCUCCUCGGGGAGGGGGGGUCCCACCUGUUUUGUCGUCAGGGGGCAUCGAGGGGCUACGGUGGGGGGAUCCCGAAAUAGUGGGCGCCUGGCCGGCUGCGAUCUGGACCGAAGGUACCAACUGUCACACCGCCACCUAGGCUGUGGGGGUGGAGCCGUGAUUGGAGUCGGCCCCUGGGUGGGGGUCUCCGGACCCCGGGCGGGCUACUGCCCAAAGGCUCCCCGCCUCCCGAUCGCCCCAAUCCGACACCAGGCAGCCUUCCAGCCCGCACGCAGUAGCUCUGAAAAGGUGCCCACUGACGCCUCCUCCUUCCUCCCCGCCCCAACUUAGCCGGGGAGCCCCGCCGGCGGCCCGCCCCCUCCGAGCCCGGAUCCCGGCCGCCGGACCUCCCCGCUGUGACCACCCACGGGAGCAGCAGCUCUGGAGGACUGCCCGCCAGAAAAAAAAAGCCUCUGGCGACGCCUGGGAGCGCGACGGAGGCGCAAGAGCUCUAACCGCGCGAGGUGAAAACUCCGACUGCGUCAGAGCCGCCCCGCCCCGCCUGGGGCCCACCUUCCGCCGCCCCUCCGAGCUGCGGCGAAAACCCGGAGAGCGGCUAGGCCGGGGUCGGAGCCCGCGCAUGCCCAGUAGCCCCACGUGGUGCAAGUCGCCUGAAGGAAGGUUUUCCUCUGCUCCCCGAGCGAAGCCCCAGCGCCCAAGUUAGGAUGGACAGCGGGGAGAGCUGGCCUUCCCGCCCCGAUGCCCGCCGUCCCUGGCCGGCCCGCGCCGCACCUCGGUGGCCUACAGGCAGCCCGAGGCCGUGCCUCCCGCGGGGUCGGGGACUUGGCGAGCGGGGGAAGGGGCGCGGCUACGGGCCCGGCGUACCACGUGACUGUCCGCGGCGCUCCGGGCAGCCAUCUUCCGCCCGGCCAUCGGGCCGCGGGCGCUCGGAACCGACCUGGGAGCUGGCGGGACCGUCCUCCCCCGCCACGCCCUCCCAUCGGGCUUUGGGCGCCGGACUCUGGCCACCGCUCGGCACCUGCCUCCGCCUCGCCUUGGGGUAUAGGAGUCCUGUACCGACCCCUGGCUUGCCCAGAGGACAGGUUCUCGCCCGGGCCAGAAGCAAACUGCGGCGAAAUCGAGACAACAGAACUCAGGUGGCGGAGGGUCCCCGCUUUUCCCCAGAGGCGGAAGUUGGCGAGGGAGUCCUCUUCCGUUAUCCAGCGAGAGCGCUGCUCUGGCUGCCUCCCGGUUCUAACCUAGUCCCUGCAGAGGAGUGAUGUACCGGCAGGGACAUUGGACAGAGGCCGUGCUCUUCCCUGCAGCGCAUACCCCGCGGCCCCUGCUGGUGGGCCGCUUCGAUGGUGCUGAGGUUCAUAGUGAAUAUUUAUUGAGCGCCUGCCUCGAGUCCCUUGGGUUUCCUGUUGUCUCGGGACCUGCCGCGUCACUAUCACCCUAGAAUUUGUUAGAAAUGCACGUUUUCGGCCCCACCUAGACCUACAGAACCAGAAACUGCGGGUGGAGUCCUGCAAUAUGAUUAACAAAGCCCUCCGGGUAGUUGUCAUGGACGCCUCUAUAUUUCAGCUAAGCAGUCCAUUUUAAUAAGCUAGGCAGUGAAAAUUUCCAUAGUUUUCCCCAAAGCACAGUGAGGAGUCAGGGAUUCAAAAUGAGGCAAUCUGCCCCAAUGCAGGCGUUUUAUUGCACCCUCCACUCCUGGCUCCUCUGGUUUUUUCGCCCGUAAGACACAGUACUGCUCUUCUCAGGAAGAUUAGGAAAGUACAUUUGUCACAUACGCUUUUCAAGCACGGCUUUAAAAUAACAACUGAAAUUCAGUUCAACUGCAUGUUUUGAGUAUCUACUGGGAGCAAGGCUCUGUGAAGUAUAGUAGCCCUACUGGUUAUGUUUAUCAGUUUGCACCUAAAAGGUGAAAGGAAGGCUUGCUUUCUUGUGAUGUAAAUUUUUUCAAACUAAGGGAGUGCCAGAAAACUGCUGGCUGCUUUCUCUCCCGUGUUGGUUUCUCUCCAGUGCUAUCCAGAAUAUGCUGUAAGCUCUGGACUUCCUGAAACAAAGGUCCAAAGUCACUCUGUCACCCAGGCUGGAGUGCAGUGGCACCAUCACAGCUCCCUGCAGCCUUGACUUACAGGGCUCCAGUGAUCCUCCACCCUCAGCCUCCUGAGUAUCUGAGACCACAGGUGCAAGCCACCAUGCCCAGGUAAUUUUUUAUUUUUGGCCGAGGCUGUUUCAUCAUGUUGCCCAAACUGGCCUUGAACCCCUGAGCUCAAGUAAUCCACAGGCCUCCGCUUCCCAAAGUGCUGAGAUUACAAGCAUGAGCCACUGUGCCUUGCUUACCAGUGUAUUUCUUAGGAAAAUUUUAAUAAACAUCAUAUUGUUGGAUUGUAAAAUUUUUGGAUUCUCAAGUACUCAGAAUAUCAUGAAUUACGUUGCUGUCAAGACAACUAGGAAACAAAAGUGAAUCACCUCCAAGUCACAAUCUGUCAUUAGAAAUCUUGUUAAAAAUAAUACUAAGAGCAAAUACUGAAGCAAAUGCUUCACUUACCAAAACAGCUAUUCUGAAGUAGGUGGUUUGGUUCCAAAUGAAUGACUUUUCUACCUUUAGAAGGUAAACUACCUGAUUUAAAAUGUGGUUUUAUUCAGUGGACCUUUCAGCAGUAGCCAUCACUCACCAUUGAGAAGGUGGGCUUCUCUCACCACCUUAAUCUCUGUAGGUCUCUUUCACCCUCUAGCAUACAUCUUACUAAGGCAUCUAAAGUACUUACUACUUCGUACUCAUGGGAUCCAAUGAUGCUCACAUAAUGUCAUCAAUAGAGUGGACCAGUGUGAUGUUUUGUGGAAUGUCAGAACAAUCAAGAUCACUUCAGACUAUUAUGGCAGUGAGCAAGAGAACUAAUGGAGCCCGUGGCAACACUGGGAAGACAUAUUGUUGGCCCUGUUGGGUAACAGCAAAUCACUUCUGAUGGACCUUGCAAAUUGGUAUGGAGGAAAAGGCAUUAGCCAGUUGUAGCAAGGAAACCAAAAGGUAUAAACAUUCACUGAUUGAAAAACAAUGUCAUAAAGUCAUCCCAGUAUCUGUGAGGAGUUGGUUCCAGGACCCCUGAGGACACCAAAAUCCUCAGAUGCUCAAGUCCCUGAUAAAAAAAUAAAAGCAGUGGUGCCCUCGGGUUCAAAAACCUGAACGGUGGUCUUCAGUUGUUCCCCCAAGCUCCUCUAUCAGAGGCCCAGACACUCCAAGAGGCUGGGAAGAGGCAAGUGGCUUUCCCUGACUGGCAUCAGACUCCUGGAUGGCUGUGUUUCUGCAUACUCCACCAUCAACAAUCAGAAGGGCACUGCUUUCUUCAAGAAGGGGACCUUGCAAAGAACUGUCUCAGAUGGACUAUCUUUGAGUUCAUCUUGUUCUGAAUGUGAGUCUGAGUCUUUGUUUCCAGAUGACACAGUGCUGUCUGAGUCCUCUGAAUCACCUGCCUCAGAGCUGCAGCAAAGUUUCUGCUGCCCAGAAACUGAAUGGGCUGCUUGUAAUGCAGAUUCUUCCUCCUGGACAAGAAGUGCUGCUGCUUCUAGUUCUUCCAGUUCUAACCCCAACUGGGCCUUUGUAAGGGAGACUUCCUUUAAGGCUUCUGCAAGAGCUGCCAACGUUUUGGAUUUGACUUUCUGAGUCCACACACAGUAGUAUGAGAUGUAGAGAUCAUUCAGUAUGUAUGCUGGGUCGUUUUCCUGAAAAAUUUUGUGAAUAUCCAGGAGACACUUUAAAACUGCACUUUUACUUAAUUGCAGUAUCUUUAUAGUCUCCCCGUAGGCCUUCAUCGCCAGUUUGAAAUGGCGAUAGAGCAGGUAACACAAUACCCUUCUUCCAAAAGACACCAUGAUAUCAUGAACAUUAGUCCAAGUCUCAAACCAGCAUAGUAUUGGACUCAAGUUUCGUGAUAUUCCAUGCAGAUUCAACGUUCUUGUCUCCUUCAGUGACACGGGUUUCUUAGCAAUAUGCCAGAAGGAUAUCAAUCGAACUGUAGUACACUUGACGACAGGCUCUGUUGUCUAGCAGAUAAGAUUUAUUGACAAAUUCUUGUAGCUGAUAUUUCUCUUCUUCAGAAAAAGACACUAAUGCAGCAUGAUUUUCUUGCUUCUGACUCUUUUCCAAAAAGGCCGUCAUUUUUUAAUAUUUGUCAGUCCACCAAGGAUUAUACUUCAAAAUCUGUUCAACUGCCUCAUCUUCAAAAAAGUCAGCUAGAUAAUGAUCAGGAUCAAACUUGGCCAGCUCGGCGGCCAGGUGCUUUUGUUUUCGUUCUGCUGCAGGGAUGAAAUCUGGAUCCUUAAUAACAUCACUCAAUUCAUCCUGUAACUGCUGAAACACUCCUGAUCGUAAGUUUCCAAACCCAUAGUGGCAUGAGGAUUCAAAGCACUUUCUGUUACCUCUUCAUAGGGUGUCUGCUCAAUUUCCCAAUCAAACUCUUCAUCGUCAACUACUUCCUCAGGAAUUUCAGAAUCACCUAUUGCUUCCACAAGUGGUUUUGCUGUCCCGGAUUUUCCUGGUGCCAGAAGAGCAACACAUGUUCAGCCCCUCAAAAUGCUGGCCAGGGGUUUCUCUGGGCAGGCGAGUGGUAAAAAUUCCUUUAUCUGCAUCAUAGGACCCUUGCUCGCUUCCGUAUCCAUAUUCUACAAUUCUUCCAGGAGGGGUUAAUCUGAGAAAGUACGGCUUGGCAUAGUAGUCUAGGCCGACCCCUCGAAGUAGACGUUGAACUCGGAGGCCGGGGCAUAGGGCACGCGGAUGGCGAUGGUCAGGAAAUCCGGCUCCUGGCUGAGGCUGAACGCCGGGGUCAGCAUCGCGGCACCAGACGCAGGGGCCAGCGCGGCUCGCCCUCGCUGCCGCGGCGGUCCCACCAAGCAACUCUCUCCAAUUUUACCUUUUUAAAAUAAAAGAUGUCUGGGCCAGGCGCAGUGGCUCACGCUUGUAAUCCCAGCACUUUGGGAAGCCGAGGCGGGUGGAUCCUGACCUGAGGUCAGGAGUUCAAGAUCAGCCCCGCCGACAUGACGAAACUCCGUCUCUACUAAAAAUACAAACAUCAGCCGGACGUGGUGGUGGGCGCCUGUAAUCCCCACUACUCGGGAGGCUGAGGCAGGAGAAUCACUUGAACCCGGGAGGCAGAGGUUGCAAUGAGCCGAGAUCAUGCCACUGUACUCCAGCCUGGGUGACAGAGUGAGACUCUGUCUCAAAAAAAAAAAAAAAAAAAAAAAAAAAAGUCUGUCUUCCAGGACACAGAAGCCUCCUAUACACACAUUUUGGCACUUGAUUAUGUUAUGUCUUUUACAGUUCUCUGCAUGUUUCUUGCAGGUAAGUCUUGAUUCUUCAAUUACAUAUUAAAUUUCUAUUGAGGAUAUAUAUCUAGCUUUCAUCUUUCAGAGUACCUAGCAUAGGACUUGGCACCAAGUAGCCCAUAGUAAACAGUUAUUCAACCAUAAUGUAUGAUUUUCUUUUCUACUUUUCACUGGUAUGUUUUUGUUUAAAAAGGGUAAACCACCAGGGAUGGAAAUGUCCUUGCUAUGUUAUCCUUCUUCUCUAAUUAGCAACCACCCUUCACAAUCUGCCACAUUACAUUUAAAAAGGAUUUUCAAAUUAGACAUUUAUGCCUGGGCAUUAACCAGGGACUGAUGAAUCAGUGCCAUCAGCAGAACACUGCCCUGACUGGCAGACAUGGCACCAUUGUCAAGACUUGUAAUUUACUCCUGGCUUUUCAAAUAGUCAGUGUGUAACUCCAGGCAAGGUUUAAUUAUCUCCUGUUAAAAUGGGAAUAAUAUGACCCACCCCCACUUUGCUUCCCAUGGGUAUCAUGAGAAUUAAUUAAUUAUUGAAUAAGAAUAUAUGUCUAUAAAAUAUUUUAUAGUUCAUUAGAGGUAAACAAAUGCAAACGUAAGAUAUUGUUCAAUGUAUUAUGAAUGUUCAUUGUUGCUGUAUUUAGUACAAAGUACCUGUAUUAUAUCAACAGUGGUAGUACACAAAAUAAUGAAUACAUGUUGGGUCAGCACCUCCUCCAAUUACCACUUGCAAACAAGUCCUGGAUGGCCAGAACUAAUUGGAAGGUUGAGACAAAAAUUAUAUCUCGCACACUAAAGAAGGGGAGAUUGAUACAGCGCGCUCACCUAAAUUUCGUAGUGCCUUCAUGAACUCUUCAAAAGCUUCAAAUCUAGGCUAGGCUACAGGAAGAACAGCAGCAACUGAAGACUGGCACCUUUUCUGGAACCUCAGCAGCACCUUCCUUGUUUCGUAAGAUUUCGAAGAAGCAUAUCAAAAUUCUUCCACCCAUUCCUUCACAGUAUAAUAGGAGAAAACAUCUAUCCUCCGUUGACACCUGGAAGAAUGAGAUUCCAACUCACUCCAGGACAUGGCCAGAAAAAUUCAACAAAAGAUUUGCUAAAUCCUCUGCACUAUUAUCUAGACCAGGAUUUCUCAACCUCAGCUCUGUGGACAUUUGGGCCAGAUAAUUCUUUGUUACCAGAGGCUGUCCUGUACAUCAUCAGGUGUUUAGCAGCAUUCCUGGCCUCAACCAAAUGGAUGCCAGUAGCACCUCCCCCACCCACUUGUGACAGCCAAAGAUAUCUCCAGACAUUGCCAAAUGUCCCCUGUUAUGGAGAAUCAUCCUCAGUUGAGAAUCACUGGUUUAGGCAAUGAUCAAAGUGGGGCAACUAAAUCAAAAGGCACUGCAAUCUUAAGUUGAUCAAGCAUCCUUCUUUGAAAUCACUCAGCACUUUCAUAUAUUGCAUUUAUAUCUUAGGUAUUCAUAUUCUAACAAUUCAGCCAAUGUUUUUUGAGUUCGCAAUGGACAAGGUACAAGAUCAAGUAAGUAAUUCUGUGUAUCCAUAAAACAGAAAUGGAUAUGGUAUGUCCCAGUUCUCCACAGUAGGCAUUUAUGUUAUUCCCAUCCCAAUAUUUAGCCCUGAUCAGGGUUGUCAAACAUUGCAUGGGACAUACUUAUCCUAAAAAAUUAUUCAUUAUUUAUCUGAAAUUGAAAUUUAACUGGAUGUCCUAUGUGUGUGCAUGUGUAUGUUUGUUUGUUUGUUUCUUUUUCUAAAUCUGAUUACCCUAUCCUAACAGACUCAAGGUUUUUUCCCUGUUCCACAAACUUUAUGACUUGACUUCAUUAAAAAUAAUAAAGAGGAAUAACUGCAAAGGCUUUAAAAAUGCUGUUAGAAUGAGUAGCACAACUGAAUUUGAGGAUACAUUUUCUUUGAAGGAUGUCUAUUUUCCUACUGAAAAUAGUGGCAAACUCCUUAGAACUCAUUCAAAGCCUGAUGGGAUUCAUUGCCUGAUUUAUUUAAAAACACUUCUGAUGCUCACAGACUAUUUAUCAUUUACACAGCAAAUGAUGUUCUUCUAGUAUUCUUGUUGGGUGAGUUAGCAUUGUGGAAGGACAUAGAGGAGAAUCAGACACAAACUUCUUAUAACCUCAUAAACAGGAAGAAAGGGAGCAGAAGCAUAGACUGACUUUACUUUCACUCAGCUUACCUUCCUAGUUCUCCAGGUGUGGUCCUCAGAAGAGGAAUAUCAUGUGACCUGGGAACUUGCUAGAAAUGCACAUCCUUGGGACCCACCCCGGACCUACUGAAUCAGAAACUCUGAGAGUGGGUCCUAGCAACCAGUGUUUUCACAGGCCUUCCAGGUGAUUCUUCCGCAUGUUCGAGUUUGAGAACAACUGCUUUAGAGCCCUGGUUCUUGACCCUGGCUACAGGGUAAAACACCUGGGGAGUUUUUAAAAUACUGAUGCAUGGGGUCCAUUCCAAGGGAGUCUGAUAUAAUUACUAUGGGGUGCAGCCCAGGCGUAAACAUUUUUUAAAAACUCCUCAACCAGAAUAACGGCUCUACAGAAAUUUUAUCAAAUGCCAAAGAAAGAGUUCCUUAUUUUGCAACUAUAGUGCUUUCUACUCUGGCCCUAAUCAACUUUCAUAAAGGCAGAAUGGACAGACAUUACGUGUUUUAAUUUGAAGACUACCAAAAGGCCGGCCAUUAAACUAGGUAUAUGGGCUCGUCCUCAAAUCCCUAAAUCUACUCCUUAGGACCUACUAUAGCCAGUGUCAUAUAAUAGAAAAGUCACUUAUUGUCCACCAGACCCUGCCCUAAUAUUUGAUAACCUCUUGGGGCCUCAUUUUCUUGUGUCUACACUGGGGAUGAUAUUAACUCUUCACAGGAUUUGGGGAAUUAUAAAGAAAGACCAUGUAGUAAAGGCAGGAAGAUCAAUAAUCAAUAAUCACAUCAGAACCUGAAGGGACUUCGUACCAUUGAAGUGAGGCAGAGGAGAGAGAAAUUUAGAAGGACAAAUUCACAAAUUUCAAUGUGUUUCUAUAAUAACUACUUAAAUUAUUUUCUCUUUGAAUUGCCUCACUGUUGUGUGUGUAUGUCCCCACUCCCACCUGUCCCAUUAUUUUCCUGUUUUCACUUGUACCUUGGCAACCCAUCUGUGGUUUUGGCCAAGCUGUUUUAAUGGCAUUGAACCUGGUAGUUUUUUUAAAAGAGUGUGGUAGUAGUUAUAUAUGGCUCGAUAACUCCUGGGGCUACAACAAGGUUAAUGCGACAGUUUUUGUUGUUUAAAAAACAUGCUUGUCUGACAAGUCAAUCAUUUUAAGCCCCUUGUUCACUUCAGGAUGGUUGCUAAAGGCUUCUCUGUGAGCUAAAAGCUCUCGCUGUUAAGGGGCUGCCUGCCCUGACUGUAUGCAUUAAAUGGAACAGUUCUCUACAUGGUUUCUUACUACAGAUGCCUUGGGAUAUAUGGACACUGGCAUUACCUGCUGCAACAGGUCCUCUCCCAGGGUACUGCUGAGACCUAAGGGCUUAAAUGCUCACCAAACCAAGUGACCUUGGAGGGCUGGUCAUGGUGGGCAUCUGGGAGCUGGGAAAGAGCAUUGGAGAACUUCAUAGGGAAACCUAGUAGGCAAAAAUGAAAGAACCCAUAAGGGCCAUUGGCAUGAGCCAUAGCUAAAGGCCACUGGGUUAGCUCUCAAAGAAAACUGCAAGAUUGAAGCAUAAAUUCCUUCAUCAUGAACCAGAAGUCAUGGAGUGGAGCCAGGGGCAAGAAAGAGAAAGAUGAAGAGGUAGAACCACCAGGAUAAAGGUGCCAAGAAAAACAGUGAGAGCAACACUCAGGGAACCAGAGACAGGAACACAGCUGGGAACUAGGAGGAGAAACCACCACAGCUGGAGCGCAAAGUGGCCAGGUCAGAAAAGCCUCAUGGAAUCCUGGUUAACUGAAUGUUUCUAUUGACUGAGGCCACUGCUUAAGCCCUGUAUUCUUUUUUAUUUCAAUCCCCAUGGUUAGAAAAAUAGUCCUAAAAUGGGUUCAUACCCUUUCCUAUCCUGCAAGAUCUUAAACAUCACUAUCUUUUCCUGCAGUAGUUAAAAGCAUGGGCUUUGGAAUCAGAAACUGGGCACAAAUCUGAGCCCUGCUACUUAUUAACUGUGUAACAUUGGUCAAAUGAAUAAACUUCCUGGAGCCUCAGUUUCCUUGCCUGUAAAAUGUGAGUAACAAUACCAACUUAUUUUCAGGUUGUGAGCAUUUCUCCAUAAUAAUCCACAUAAAACACUUACCAGAGCCCUUGGCAUACUGUGUGAGCAUGUAAUAAUGUUAGCUGUCAUUCCAAGACAACAUGUUGGAAUAAUCUACUUUUUCCAUCACUAUAUAUCUCAUUUUCCUUCUUUUUCUUCUCCCUCAAACCUGUCCCCAUUCCAACAGAUGUUUUGGCCUGUGUUCCUAGCCUCCAGUGACAGCAGAAAGCCUGUUAGAUUUCCUGCCUUUGUUUCCCAAAAUUUGAGCCCCAAGAAACUGGGACAAGAUAUUUUCCUGAGACAAGAUAUCUCAGGAAGGGGAAUGAGUGGAGCUUCUUUUCACCCCACACUAGAAAGCCAUUCUGUUUAGAAAAAGGAGACGGAAGGGAAAGAAAAGGGUGCUAUACCAGUUUUCCAGUAUCACCGUCAGGGAGAAAGCAAGGCCGGAGAGUAUCUGGGCAGAUGUAACUAUAAGCAGCCUAAUAAAGGUUCCCAAGUCCAAACCAUGAAUCCAAACGGCAGAGCUGCCAGACAUGAAAGGCCUUGCUGCCCUUCCACCCCACAAUACUUCACCUCUGGAAGCCUUGACAAUUCCAGGGAGUAUUUGCAAAACCCUGCCCCCACCCAAAAUUUUUAAAAUACUGCAUAUGAGUGAGUAAAAUGAUGCCGAGAUUUUUAAAAGGACAAGCUUACCAUCAGAUAGGUAGAAUGAGUAGUAGUGGCAGCGGUGGUGGUAGUGAUAUAGAGAUAAAAGAGUUAAGUGGAGUUACUGAAAUGUGUAGUUAUAUUUCUCACACUCUGGUGUUUGUGGAUUUGUGGGCUGAGAUUCUUAUCAAAUUCCGGAACUUGCAAUGUCUCAAGGUAAUUGUUUAAAAUAUUAAUUGUUUUACUCACACUGCAAAUGUUGAUAUAGAUGCUGGGGUGGAGGUGGGGCAAUAGGCCAGAAUAAGCCCAAGAAUACCUUGGAAUUUGCUGAAUUUCUUUCUUUUUGCAUAAUCUUAUUCACACAUUAACAUAAUAUGAACCACUCUGGCUCCAUGAGCAGCACAGAAGAGACUUUCUGCAAAUGUGAUUAUUAGGGCAAAAGUUAGGAGAUUUUUUGCCCCCAGCUUUUCUCCUCUCCUAAAAUCUUUUUUUUUUUUUCAUUUCUUUGUCAGUGUCUUUAAUUUUUUUAGCUGCAUUUAAAAGGCUUUCUAUUAUUUCUGCAUGAGUAAGAGCAUGUGUCAUGUCAGCCUCCUUGUCAGCUUCUGUUUCACUUUCAUUAAAUUUGUUGAUUGAGUGUAAAGAAGGAGGCACUGUCAUCAUUUCCAGAUUUCAUAGCUGUAGGUUAGAUCUCUCUCGGAGCAAUGCCAUGAUUACUGCUGCAAUUUUGUAAUGGAGCCCUGGAGAGACAGGGAUGAAACCAGGGAAGGCUCCUUAUCCCUUUCGUGGGUCCAGGGAGGCAGAAAGAGAGGGGAGGAGGAUGUUUCUGUUUCACCUCUAUUCAUUCAUUCAUUCAUUUGCUUCACAAAUAUUGAGCACCUCCUGAGUGACAGACACUGAUUUGGGUGCUGGAAAGCAUAAGCAGCCCUGGUGCCUGUCCUCACAGAGCCUAUGGUCUGCUGGUGAGACGGACUUAAUCAGAUAAACACACUAAUGAAUGUAUAGUUGCACCAACAGAUCCUCAUUUAAUUGAGCUGGACUAGGACCUAGGCAUCAGUAUUUUUUUUAUAAGCUUCAUAGGUAACUCUGCCAGGCCUGGGAAUCACUGGGCUAGACCAUGCAAGUUCUAAUCAUAUAGGCUCUACUCAAGCAUUAAGCAUUUUGAUUUUAUCUUUCAAGCUGUGGUGAAAACGUUACUGAAGAGAGGUGAUAUAGUAAGAUGCUCACGGUUUUUAAAAUUAAGCUUUUUUAUUUUGAAAUAAUUAUAGACUCAUAUGCAGUUGUAAGAAAUAAUACAGGGGAAUCCCAUAUAUCCUUUAUCCAGUUUCCCCAAUGGUAACAUCUUGCAAAACUAUGGUACAAUAUCACAACCAGGAUAUUGACCUUGGUGCAGUCAAGAUAAAGCAUUUUCAACACCACAUGAAUCCCUCCUGUUGUCCUUGGAUAGCCCUCCCCACUUUACUCCUGGUGACCACUAAUAUGUUCUCCAUUUCUAUAAUCUUGUCUUUUCAACAGUUAUAUAAGUGGAAUCAUAUAGUAUAGAACCUCAUGGGAUUGGCUGUUUUCUCUCAGCAUCAUUUUCUGGACAUUCAUUCAGGUUGUUUCACGUGUCAAUAGUUUGUUCCUUUUUAGAGGGCUGACUAGCGGUGUUCCAUGUAUAGGGGUGCCAUAGUUUGUUUAACCAUUCACAUGUUGAAGGACAUCUGGGUCUGCUCCAAUGUUCAGAGAUUUUAAAUAGAGCUGCUAUACACAUUUGUGUAUAGGUUUUUGUGUGAACAUGAAGUCUUUGUUUCUCUGGGAUACAUGCCCAAGUGUGCAAUUGCUGAGUUAUAUGAUAGUUGCAUGUAGAAACUAUCAUGCAUAAAGAAACUGUCAAACUAUUUCCAGAGUAUCUGCACCAUUUUACAUUCUCAACAGUAAUGUACCAGUGAUCCAGUUUCUCCUCAUUCUCAUCAGAAUUUAAUGUUGCCACUGUUUUUUAUUUCAGCCAUUCUGAUAGGUAUGUGGUAAUUGCUUGUUGUGGUUUGCUUUGAGUUUCUCUAAUGGCCAACGAUGCUGAACAUCUUUUCAUGUGCUUAGUUGCCAUCUGUAUAUUACCUUUGGUGAAGUGUCUCUUCAUGUCUUUGGCCUAUUUUCUAAUUGGAUUAUUAGCCUUAAUGUUGAGUUUUGAGAGUUUACUUUUAUAUUCCAAAUACUAGUCCCUUUUGUCAAAUAUGGGGUUUGCAAUUUUUUUCCCACUCUCCAAUUUGUUUUUUAUCCUGUUUACAGGGUCUUUCACAGAGCAAAGUUUUUUAAUUGUGAUGCAGUCUAAUUUAUCAGCUUUUCCUUUUAUGGACCAUAUUUUUGGUGUCGAGUCUAAGUCGUCUUUGCUGAGUCCUACAUCAUGAAGAUUUUUUCUUACUAAAAUUUGAUAGUUUUAAAUGUUCUCUAUUUAAGUCCGUGAGUUAUUUUGAGUUAAUUUUUGCAUAAGGUAUAAAUCUUAGGUUGAGGCUCACUUUUUAAUCUUAAGGAUUGCUCAGCAUCAUUUAUUGAAAAGGCUAUCUUCCCUCCAUUGAAUUUCUUUUGUACCUGUGUCAAAACAUCAGUUGCAUAUAUUUGUGUGUAUCAAUUUCUGGGUCUUCUGUUCUGUUCAGUGGAUCUAUGUGUCUAUUUCUCUGCCAAUACCAUAUAGUUUUGACUAUAGUAGCUGUAUAAUAAGUCUUGAAACCCUUGAAACCAGGUAAGACUGGUCCCUUUCAUAUUAGCCUUCCUUUUCAAAAUUGUUUUAGCUAUUCUAGUUCCUUUGCUUUUCUGUAUACAUUGUAGAAUAGUGUUGUCUAUAUCUAUUUUUAAAACUUGCUGGAAUUUUUUUUUAAGAGACAGAGUCUUGCACUGUUGGCCAGGUUGGAGUACAGGGGUAUGAUCAUAGCUCACUACAGCACCAAACUCCUGGGCUCUAGCAAUCUUCCUGCCUCAGUCUCCCAAGUAGGUAGAACUACAUGCAACUGCCACUACAAUCGUAUUUAAAAGUAAAGUUAAAAAAAUUUUUUUUGAGAGAAGAUCUCACUCUGUUGACUAGUCUGGUCUUGAACACCUAGCCUCCAGCAAUCCUCUUGCCUCCCAAAGCACUGGAAUUGCAAGAGUGAGCUACCAGGCCCAACCAGUAUGUUAUGUGUGCAGUUUUUUGUAGAUAUUAUUUAUUAUGUUGAGGAAACUCCCCUCUAUUGCCAUUUUUCUGAUAGUUUUUAAGAUCAUUCAUGGGUGUUGAAGUUUGUCAGAGUCUUUCUGUAUCCAUUGAUUGUUAUGAUCAAGAAUUUUUUCUUUAGCCUGUUAAUACGAUGUAUUAAAUAGCUUCAUUUUCAACUACUGAGCCAGCCUGAAAUAAACCUCGCUUGGUCAUGAUAUAUUAUUACAUAUGCUGCUGAAUUCUAUUUUCUCUUUUACUGGUCUUUUGGCUGGAGAGAGUAGGCUUUUGUUGGGGCUUUACUUGUACGUGCACAUUGUUAUUUCUGGGUUGUCAGCCUCCUUCUCUCCAAGUCUGGGAUAUAUGGGACAAAAACAUAAUCCAGGGAGCCCACCACCUUGUUAGACUUUGAGUCCCUAGAUCCCUAGGUGGUCUGGCUUCUUUUUUUCACCUUUGAAAAUCUUAUGUUUGUUUUAUACAUAAUGUUGAGAGUUUUUCGUUGUUCUUAGUGGCAGAAGUAUAGAAAGAUACUCCAUCUUCUCAAAAAUAGAAGUUCAGAUUAUGUUUUGAAAGGCACUGUAGGCAGGCCAGGGAAGGCUUGUAAAAGGCUACUGCACUGGUCCAGGUGAGGGGAGUUAGUCUGGUAGAAGGCUGUUUCUUCCACCAUUCUCCCCUCACAUUCCACUGCCCCAUUUGCAUGGAGCUGGGGUUCUACUACCCCAGUAGGGCAGCAAGAGAGAAGGAGCAGGCAAUAUCUUGGAGCAUUACACCAUGAUAAAGGGACACCAAUACCCUCCAGAUGCUAGCUGUUUCUUUCUAGAGCUUUUAAACAUUCUCCUUCAGCAGAAGAAAUAAGUCACUCCUGAAAGCAUCCUAACAAUGUGCAUUUCUCCAAAGUUUCCUUAACACUUCACAUUUAACAUGACUCCAGGUAUAAGCAACAUUAAACAAGUCAUAUCUUAUGUUACAACUUGAGUGAAACUUUAAUGAUGCUGAAUUUGCUAAUUUGCUCUGGUAUAAUGUAUUUCCUGUUUAUAAUCCCUUUUGGCUAAUAGCACUAAUCAACAGAAAACACUGACAGACUGCACAAUGGCAACAGUAAUUCUGGACAGAGAUAGUUUUAUUAUCUACAGAUGAAUCCAUGUUUCUAAAACAUUAUUUACUAUAAUGUAAAAUAUGGGUUGGGCGUGGUGGCUCACACCUGUAAUCUCAGCACUUUGGGAGGCUGAGGCGGGCAGAUCACCUGAGGUCAGCAGUUCAAGCCUAGCCUGGCCAACAUGGUGAAACCCCAUCUCUACUAAAAAUACAAAAAUUAGCCAAGUGCAGUGGUGCAUGCUUGUAAUCCCAGCUACUUGGGGGGCUGAGGUAGGAGGAUUGAUUGAACCUGGGAGGCAGAGGUUGCAGUGAGCCGAGAUCAUACCACUGCACUCCAACCUGGGCAACAGAAGGAGACUCUAUCUCAAAAAAUAAAAAUAAAAAUAAAAAUAAAAUGUAGUAGAUAAAGGUCAUAAUUUCUAUGCACCAAAGCUUUUAUAGGAGGCCUGUAUUUUAGCAAUCAACCUGUCCUUAUUCUGUUCAAAUUCAAGGGCACUUGAAUCACUUUAGAUGGUGUCACCUACAUUGGGAAGCAAUCACAGUAUAGAUAUUUUUUCUUAUUAUGUUUGCAAAAUAAACUUCACAAAAUUGUCUAGCAACCUUGUGACCACUUGUUUUCUUUUAUUGAACAUAAUAAUCCUUUUAAC
This 15724-nucleotide long non-coding RNA is filed under the name Homo sapiens (human). Its description in RNAcentral is "non-protein coding SGMS1-AS1:11". The record is from RNAcentral. Lineage: Eukaryota; Metazoa; Chordata; Mammalia; Primates; Hominidae.